This 532-nucleotide ribosomal RNA is filed under the name uncultured bacterium. RNAcentral describes it as "bacterial SSU rRNA". It matches the Rfam family "Bacterial small subunit ribosomal RNA", at positions 373 to 917 of the family's 1533-position model. The record is from RNAcentral.
GGGCNAAGCCUGACGCAGCGACGCCGCGUGGGGGAUGAAGGCCUUCGGGUUGUAAACCCCUUUCAGCAGGGACGAAGCGAAAGUGACGGUACCUGCAGAAGAAGCGCCGGCUAACUACGUGCCAGCAGCCGCGGUAACACGUAGGGCGCAAGCGUUGUCCGGAAUUAUUGGGCGUAAAGAGCUCGUAGGCGGUCCGCUACGUCCGCUGUGAAAACCUAGGGCUUAACCCUGGGCUUGCAGUAGAUACGGGCAGACUAGAGGUAGGUAGGGGAGAAUGGAAUUCCCGGUGUAGCGGUGAAAUGCGCAGAUAUCGGGAGGAACACCGGUGGCGAAGGCGGUUCUCUGGGCCUUACCUGACGCUGAGGAGCGAAAGCGUGGGGAGCAAACAGGAUUAGAUACCCUGGUAGUCCACGCCGUAAACGUUGGGCGCUAGGUGUGGGGUCCUUCCACGGAUUCCGUGCCGCAGCUAACGCAUUAAGCGCCCCGCCUGGGGAGUACGGCCGCAAGGCUAAAACUCAAAAAAAUUGACGGA